UUAUUUUUUUAAGAGUGUGGAUAAUGGGGCCUCUCAAUCAAAAUCCCAGGCUCCAGUCUGCUCCCCCAUCCCCCUUCCACCCCUCCACCUUCCCCUGCCGCCUGCUCCGAGGAGGAGGAAGACACCAAAGAACGAGGUUUUCCUCUUAAUUAUGAAUCAUUCCUUGAGGGCAGGCCCAGGGCAAGGGGUUCCUGGGGCCCAGAGUCUGACCCGGGAGGUAGCUGGAAGGCUUGAGCCUCUCAUCAAAGGCUCCAGGUCAUUUCCAGUAAGGCCUCAUCCAGAGCCAGGCUGCGGAGAAACACACACACACAUACACACAUACACACACACACACACACACACACACGACCACCCUGACUACAAGUGGAUUUCGAGAGGAAGGGGCCUUGUCUUGCACAUGAAGGGCCUCCCAGUAUGUGCGGCAUGCAAAUUAGUUUUCAGAAAAUGUGACACUAU
RNAcentral lists this long non-coding RNA (456 nucleotides) under Marmota monax (woodchuck). Lineage: Eukaryota; Metazoa; Chordata; Mammalia; Rodentia; Sciuridae. The record is from RNAcentral.